Molecule: ribosomal RNA, 775 nt
Filed under: uncultured Neocallimastigales
Lineage: Eukaryota; Fungi; Neocallimastigomycota; Neocallimastigomycetes; Neocallimastigales
Description: partial large subunit ribosomal RNA
Rfam family: Eukaryotic large subunit ribosomal RNA
Source: RNAcentral
UACUAGAGUAGCACUCGCAUAUCAAUAAGCGGAGGAAAAGAAACUAACAAGGAUUCCCCCUAGUAACGGCGAGUGAAGCGGGAAGAGCUCAAAUUUGAAAUCUUAAAGGGUUUCCCUUUACGAAUUGUAGUUUAAAGAAGUGUUUUCUGUUGAGGUUUUGGUAAAAGUUCUUUGGAAUAGGACAUCAUAGAGGGUGAGAAUCCCGUAUUUGACCCUUACUUUCAACUUUGUGAUACACUUUCAAAGAGUCGGAUUGUUUGGGAAUGCAGUCCAAAAUGGGUGGUAAAUUUCAUCUAAAGCUAAAUAUUGGCGAGAGACCGAUAGCGAACAAGUACCGUGAGGGAAAGAUGAAAAGAACUUUGAAAAGAGAGUUAAACAGUACGUGAAAUUGUCAAAAGGGAAGCGUUUGACACCAGUGUUGUUUUUCUGAAAAUCAAUUAAAGAACUGUUUAUGCUAAGUUGUUUAGACUUUAUCAGCUAACUGUUUAGUUUUGAGCUUUUCUUUAAUGCACUUUUCAGUUAACAAGUCAACAUCAAUUUCUUUUGCUGUAAAAAAGCUUGAGGAAGGUGGCUUGAGAUUCGUCUUAAGUGUUUAUAGCCUCUUGCCUAUGCAGUCGGAGAGAUUGAGGUCUGCAGCGUAGAUCCUUCGGGGCUAAAUGCAUUUGUGCUAAGUUAUAGCAUUUUAUAGACAACUUGUUGACUAUGAUUUGUCUUGUAGCUUACUCGCUUAUGUUAUUUUACCUACGCUUAGGAUGUUGAUCUCUCACAGUCGAGC